GAUGAAGAACGUAGCGAAAUGCGAUACUUGGUGUGAAUUGCAGAAUCCCGUGAACCAUCGAGUCUUUGAACGCAAGUUGCGCCCGAAGCCAUUAGGCCGAGGGCACGCCUGCCUGGGCGUCACACGUCUUUGCCCCCCCAUCUACUCCUUCGGGAUUGCGGGGGGCGGAUGAUGGCCUCUCGUGCGCCUCGUCGCGCGGUUGGCCUAAAUGCCAAGUCCUCGGCGACGCACGCCACGACAAUCGGUGGUUGCGAAACCUCGGUUGCCUGUCGUGUGCGGUCGUCGCGCAUCGAGGGCUCGAAAAAAUUGCCGGGCUUCGGCUCGACUUUCAACGCGACCCCAGGUCAGGCGGGGUUACCCGCUGAAUUUAAGCAUAUCAAUAAGCGGAGGA
RNAcentral lists this unclassified non-coding RNA (391 nucleotides) under soil metagenome. RNAcentral's name for it is "partial contains 5.8S ribosomal RNA, internal transcribed spacer 2, and large subunit ribosomal RNA". The stretch from base 1 to 122 matches the Rfam family "5.8S ribosomal RNA", at positions 35 to 154 of the family's 154-position model. The record is from RNAcentral.